This 254-nucleotide ribosomal RNA is filed under the name uncultured bacterium. RNAcentral describes it as "partial 16S ribosomal RNA". It matches the Rfam family "Bacterial small subunit ribosomal RNA", at positions 524 to 776 of the family's 1533-position model. The record is from RNAcentral.
CACGUAGGGGGCAAGCGUUGUCCGGAUUUACUGGGCGUAAAGAGCUCGUAGGCGGUCCGGCAAGUCGGGUGUGACAACUCCAGGCUCAACCUGGAGAGGUCACUCGAUACUGCUGUGACUAGAGUCCGGUAGGGGAGCAUGGAAUUCCCGGUGUAGCGGUGAAAUGCGCAGAUAUCGGGAGGAACACCAGUGGCGAAGGCGGUGCUCUGGGCCGGAACUGACGCUGAGGAGCGAAAGCGUGGGUAGCAAACAGG